GACGAACGCUGGCGGCGCGCUUAACACAUGCAAGUCGAACGGAAAGGCCUGCUUUCCCUUGUGGAUUGCGGGUACUCGAGUGGCGAACGGGUGAGUAACACGUGAGUGAUCUGCCCCCAACUUGGGUAUAAGCCUGGGAAACUGGGUCUAAUUCCCGAUAGGACUGCAGGGUGGUGCCUGUGGUGGAAAACGAUUUUCUAGUGGUUGGGGAUGAGCUCGCGGCCUAUCAGCUUGUUGGUGGGGUAAUGGCCUACCAAGGCGGCGACGGGUAGCCGGCCUGGGAGGGUGGACGGCCACAUUGGGACUGAGAUACGGCCCAGACUCCGACGGGAGGCAGCAGUGGGGAAUAUUGCACGAUGGGCGGAAGCCUGAUGCAGCGACGCCGCGUGGGGGAUGACGGCCUUCGGGUUGUAAACUCCUUUCGACCGCGAGGAAGCCACCUGGUUGGAAGGGUGGUGACGGUAGUGGUAGAAGAAGCACCGGCUAACUACGUG
Molecule: ribosomal RNA, 494 nt
Filed under: uncultured bacterium
Lineage: Bacteria
Description: partial 16S ribosomal RNA
Rfam family: Bacterial small subunit ribosomal RNA
Source: RNAcentral